GCCUAUGCUAGGUGAUACUAUAUCUACUACAAUUAUUUUAAAAAGGUUGUUCUCAAUGAAAAAGACACCCUUUGUACUGUGAGCCAUGGGGUGAUUUGCUAUACCGAUUCCUUACUCUACCACCAAUUACUAUUCAAGGUUUCCGAUUAAUCCACCUGAAUGCUUAGAGAUGUAUGUCAAAGGCUCAGCUUAUUGCUUCCCUUGGACAUUCAUUUUCCCAUUUUUGUCUUGUCCAGUCGUCGUCGUGCAUAUUCCUGAAUCUUACGAUCAUGGUCUUUGAGCAUUUGUUCCACAUUGUGUGAUGGAACGAGUAAUGGUCCAGAGAAAUAUAUCUUGCUUCCCCUCGGCCCACGACCAUACAGACUUGCUCCUCCGGAUUUUCCAUCAUCUGCCUGAGGAGAAUCUGCAUGCUUACGCACUUCAUGUUUUUGACUCUUCUUUGUUGUGGGCUCCAAUCCAUUUAAUGAUCCCUGAAACCCACCUACCUGUUUUACCGCUUCAGUCUGUGAAGUACUAGGUCUUCCCUGCCAAUCAUCAGGCAAUGAAGUUCUAGCUGCUACUAAACCAGAUAUUGUUGAUAGGUUGGUUCUGGUUGACACUGCAUGAGGAUUAUCAAUAUCCUUUCCAGCCUUUGUCCAGCCUGUCC
Molecule: unclassified non-coding RNA, 646 nt
Filed under: Hevea brasiliensis (rubber tree)
Lineage: Eukaryota; Viridiplantae; Streptophyta; Magnoliopsida; Malpighiales; Euphorbiaceae
Source: RNAcentral